Molecule: long non-coding RNA, 340 nt
Organism: Limanda limanda (common dab)
Lineage: Eukaryota; Metazoa; Chordata; Actinopteri; Pleuronectiformes; Pleuronectidae
Exons: 4
Source: RefSeq, a predicted model, not a curated record
CAGAAAUCCCUCAGAAAAAAAACAUAAAGAGGAUCGCCGUCUGGGUCGAAUGAUUGAGGACAUCCUCAAGAGUAGCCCUGGAGGUGAUAAGAUCACACAUGAGUAUGCUCGCACAAAAACAUUGUCAGAUGUCAGAAGACGUGACCUAGUGAAGAUACUAGUUGCACAUCUGACAAAUGAGCAUGGCACAAGCCCCCCUAGGAGAUUGAAGGAGGAAUACGCCAAAGGAAUCAUCUGCCUUUUUCCUUACUUGGCUGACCCCCGGAGCAAGCUUGGCUAUGAACAUUUUUAUAAUGCUGAAGAUGGAAGUGGGUAUUUGGCUUGGAGAAUCAAAACUCUG